AGUGAACGCUGGCGGCAGGCCUAAUACAUGCAAGUCGAACGGCAGCACAGUGGAGCUUGCUCCAUGGGUGGCGAGUGGCGGACGGGUGAGGAAUACAUGGGAAUCUGCCCAGUCGUGGGGAUAACGUAUGGAAACGUACGCUAAUACCGCAUGCGCCCUUCGGGGAAAGUCGGGGACCGCAAGGCCUGACGCGAUUGGAUGAGCCCAUGUUCGAUUAGCUAGUUGGCGGGUAACGGCCCACCAAGGCGACGAUCGAUAGCUGGUCUGAGAGGAUGAUCAGCCACACUGGAACUGAGACACGGUCCAGACUCCUACGGGAGGCAGCAGUAGGGAAUAUUGGACAAUGGGCGCAAGCCUGAUCCAGCCAUGCCGCGUGAGUGAAGAAGGCCUCGGUUGUAAGCUCUUUGUUGGG
RNAcentral lists this ribosomal RNA (412 nucleotides) under uncultured bacterium. RNAcentral describes it as "bacterial SSU rRNA". It matches the Rfam family "Bacterial small subunit ribosomal RNA", at positions 29 to 442 of the family's 1533-position model. The record is from RNAcentral.